CCUUUACAUGGAAUGAUGAUGUUCCCUUUCCUCAAGGGUGAUUGCAAGGCACUGAAAUUCUCAGCUCCAACCAAGAUUCUUAAUUCCAAGCUUGGCAACAUUACAAGAACAUAGAAGCGCAACAACCUCCGGGUGACUCUGUACAGAUGUGGGUAAUUAUUAAACCAGUAGCCACCAUAAUAGGCUCAUGUGACAACCACAUGCCUAUUCCCCUGGUACCAGAAGGAAGAGUCUAACCCAGAAAAUUUGACUCCUUGAGACACGGAUUCUCUGGCAACCCCCGGCAUGUGCGUGGUCUUGGCUCAUCCAAAGACCCCUUGUUGAUUUUGCAUCUGGACAUAGUGGGCCAACAUUGUAUGAUGUACAAGGUGUCAGUAAAGCCUGCAGGGGAUCCUUCGAUCCUAGCAAAAUGACAAGUCUCAUUGUUCCUGUGAGGGAGCAGACAAAGAGACCAGAGGAUUUAACUCUUUCAAGUGAAUGCUAUCCUACUUUGAGUUCUGCCUUGAGAGGUGAGCUUCCCUGAGCUACAUACAAUUGAAUAAAACUGUAUUAUUAGUAAAAGCCC
This is a long non-coding RNA of Felis catus (domestic cat), 565 nucleotides long. RefSeq lists it as uncharacterized. NCBI's taxonomy places the organism in Eukaryota, Metazoa, Chordata, Mammalia, Carnivora, Felidae. The transcript is spliced from 2 exons. The record is from RefSeq and is a predicted model, not a curated record.